UACGUAGGGUGCGAGCGUUGCCCGGAUUUAUUGGGCGUAAAGGGCGCGUAGGCGGCUCGGCACGUCCGUUGUGAAAUCGCCCGGCUCAACUGGGCGGGGUCGGCGGAUACGGCCGAGCUGGAGCAAGCUUGGGGGUAAUGGAAUUCCCGGUGUAGUGGUGGAAUGCGUAGAUAUCGGGAGGAACACCAGUGGCGAAGGCGGUUACCUGGAGCUUUGCUGACGCUGAUGCGCGAAAGCGUGGGGAGCGAUCCGG
This 253-nucleotide ribosomal RNA is filed under the name uncultured bacterium. Its description in RNAcentral is "partial 16S ribosomal RNA". It matches the Rfam family "Bacterial small subunit ribosomal RNA", at positions 524 to 776 of the family's 1533-position model. The record is from RNAcentral.